AUUGAACGCUGGCGGCAGGCCUAACACAUGCAAGUCGAGCGAGCGGCGGACGGGUGUGUAAUGUCUGGGAUACUGCCUGAUGGAGGGGGAUAACUAUUGGAAACGGUAGCUAAUCCCGCAUACCAUCAGAUGUGCCCAGAUGGGAUUAGCUAGUAGGAGGGGGAACGGAUCACCGAGGCGACGAGCCCUAGCGGUUCUGAGAGGAUGACCAGCCACACUGGAACGGAGACACGGUCCAGACUCGGAAGGGAGUCAGCAGUGAGGAAUAUUCGGCAAUGGGCGAAAACCUGAAGGAGCCAUGCGGCGUGUGUGAGGAGGGGCUGCGGUUGGGAAAGCACUUUCAUCAGGGAGGCGUUACCCGCAGAAGAAGCACCGGCUAACUCCGUGCCAGCAGCCGCGGUAAUUC
Molecule: ribosomal RNA, 406 nt
Filed under: uncultured bacterium
Lineage: Bacteria
Description: partial 16S ribosomal RNA
Rfam family: Bacterial small subunit ribosomal RNA
Source: RNAcentral